This is a long non-coding RNA of Suncus etruscus (white-toothed pygmy shrew), 436 nucleotides long. RefSeq lists it as uncharacterized. Lineage: Eukaryota; Metazoa; Chordata; Mammalia; Eulipotyphla; Soricidae. The transcript has 4 exons. The record is from RefSeq and is a predicted model, not a curated record.
UCAAGCCUGCUUGUAAAGAAAAAGGAAAGGAAAAGGAAUAACGCUUAGUACAUAUCUGAGGAAAUAUCAUCCAGGUUGCAAAAAUAUCUGCCUGUCAGAAUUCAGGAGGGAUGUGGGAGCAAGGCGAUGAGUCAGACCCACAGGCUGAGGCGAGGGUUCUUGUGAGCCUCUUCAGUCCAGAGGUUUCCUGGGCAACCGUUUAUGCAGCAGUUAACCGCGGAGAAGCAUGAGCUUUCCACUUGAAUGGCCAGGAGGAUAGCAUAAAAAGGAAACAAAGCUGUGUUUCUCCCUCUGUGGAAUACCCCUUUAUAGAGUUGGUGAUUGAAUGUGGACUUGCCCUGAAUUCCAUUUCAGUGAGCCAGAGGCUCUCCUGUUCAGGGACCAGCAGAAGAAGGAAAUCCUGCUAGGUAGAGGUGAUGCUUCUGCCUUAGGAAUG